UAAACCCUAAAUCCUAAACCCUAAACCCUUGGGUAAAUCCCUAAACCCUUGGAUAAACCCUAAACUCUAAAUAAAAAAACACUAAACACUAAACCCUAAACCCUAAACCCUAAAUCCUAAACCCUAAACCCUUAAGUGUUUUAGUGCUUAAUGAUUUUGAUUUAGAGUUUAAGAUUUAUCCAAGGGUUUAUGGUUUAUCCAAAGAUUUCGGAUUUAGGGAUUAGGUUUUAGGGUUUAGUGUUUUGCCGACGACGUUAAAAAUAUAUAUAUUUUUUAAUUACUAAUAUUUUUUAUUUAUUUCUUUUUACCUUUUAAUUUUAAAAACAUAAUAUAAUUUGACAAUUUUUUUUUUUUAAAAUAUAUCGAAUUUAAAAUAAUGAAAUCGUAUUGGUUGGUGAACAUAUAGGUUCACCUUAGGAGAUGGGUGAACCUUUAAAUUCACCCUAUCAUUUAAGACCAAUCAAAUUGACACAUAGAUUAUUAAUUAAAAAAAUAUUAAAUUAAAAAAAAAUAGCUACAAAAAAUAAAACGCUAAUUUUAACGACGCUAACGCUUGCAACUAAACCCUAUACCCUAAAUUCUAAACCCAAAUCCAAACUCCUAAACCCAAACCCUAUAUCCUAAACCCUAAUCUUAGACCCUAAACCCAAAUUAUAUACCCUAAACCCAAAUUAUAUACCCUAAACCCAAAAAAUAGACUGUAAACCUAAACUUUAUACCCUAAACCCAAGUAUUAGACCCUAAACCCAAACCGUAAACCUUAAACCCAAAUUAUAUACCUUAAACCCAAAACCUUAACCAUAA
This 804-nucleotide long non-coding RNA is filed under the name Brassica napus (rape). RNAcentral's name for it is "long non-coding RNA (BNAP_LNC021386)". Lineage: Eukaryota; Viridiplantae; Streptophyta; Magnoliopsida; Brassicales; Brassicaceae. The record is from RNAcentral.